Long non-coding RNA from Anarrhichthys ocellatus (wolf-eel), 1134 nucleotides. RefSeq lists it as uncharacterized. The transcript is spliced from 3 exons. The record is from RefSeq and is a predicted model, not a curated record. Lineage: Eukaryota; Metazoa; Chordata; Actinopteri; Perciformes; Anarhichadidae.
AGGUCUUCACAUGAAAAUCUGCAUAUGUAAAUAUGUAUUUAUCUAAAGAAUAAAUACAUUUAUGAGCCAUAGUGCACGGUGAUUAUGAGUUGUGAAGCACACACACACACAUUUUUUACCAACAAUGUGUGGGAUCAUACAGUCGAAUCCCCCCGGGGCCCUUUAUUGACAGCACUGAGACAGUGAGAGGAGCUUCAGCUGUUUGUUUGUUCUGAUGAUCUUGUGCUUGUUGGACAGGAAUCAGUCGGGAUGAUUAAAGAGCUGCUGCUUCAAUUCUUCUGAGCUGGAAGUGAGAGAACAAGGUCUCACUUCCCCCUGCAGCGGCUCCUCCUCGCUGCCUGAAAGCUCUUUACGGUUUGAGUUGGCACAUUGACAUGAAGUGAAACCAAACAGGCUGCAGUCUGAUGAUUCUGUACAGCUGAACCUGGAGCUGUUAACAUCAAGACCGCUGUCUGCUAGAGCACCAUCUUCUUUCACUUCCGUCUCUCUCAGUGAUCAUGACGGCAGUCGGCGCAGAAGUCGGCGUGUCGUGGUUCCUGACAUCAGGAGUCGUUGGUUUCCUCAUCGUCCUCCUCCUCUCCAUCUUCCUCACAGCUCUCUGCAGCGAGUGCAGCAGGUCAGCUGGUUCUGUGUUCUAUAUUUCUAUUUCUGUCUACGAAUGCAUGUUCUGAUCCAAACCAACAAUCCGAAGCCGAAAAUAUCUUCUUCCUGUGUGCCAUAGAGCUCUAUUACAAACACAUCAAUGCUGUUGCAUUGGGUGACAUGUUCCUUCAUUAUCAUAAACAUACACACUAUAGUUUAUUUUGACGCGUGAGACUCGUCACACGGCAGCUAUUUGGCUAUUUACACCUGAUUUAGCAAUAGCUAACGAACCAAAAAGCCUUCUGACACAAAGGAGCACUAAAAGGUAGGUAGAGGAGGAUUUAGGAGUAGUAGUAGAAUGUCAAAGUAUAUUAAAGGAACAGUGUGUGACAUUUAUGGGGAUUAAUUGAUAGCAAUGGAAUAUAAUAUUCAUAACUGUGUUUUAAUCGGUGUAUAAUCACCUGCAACUAAGAAUCGUAGUGUUCCCAUUAGCUUAGGGAAAGCCAUUUAUAUCCACGUAGGGAGAAGGUUGUCUUCCACGGAGUCCGCCAU